Long non-coding RNA from Salarias fasciatus (jewelled blenny), 232 nucleotides. RefSeq lists it as uncharacterized. The transcript is spliced from 3 exons. The record is from RefSeq and is a predicted model, not a curated record. NCBI's taxonomy places the organism in Eukaryota, Metazoa, Chordata, Actinopteri, Blenniiformes, Blenniidae.
UGUGUGUGGAUGUGUCAGUGUGUUUACUGUGAGUCACAAUUACAGAUAAAUGUCAAGGGUUAAAAUGAAGUCAACAUCUCUGGAGGUGCCCAACGCUAACAGCUCUUCUCGGCAAUGAUUUUAAAGAAGCCGCAGAAGGUUAAUUUGAAUUUUCCAUAUUUUCCAUGACAAAAUCGCCAAACAAAUGUCACUGAAUUCGGGUCACUUUUAUUUUAAACAUGUGAAAGCUGAA